This is a long non-coding RNA of Ornithodoros turicata, 288 nucleotides long. RefSeq lists it as uncharacterized. The transcript is spliced from 3 exons. NCBI's taxonomy places the organism in Eukaryota, Metazoa, Arthropoda, Arachnida, Ixodida, Argasidae. The record is from RefSeq and is a predicted model, not a curated record.
CACUUCGAAAGGAACACUCCUUCGGGUCACAUAUUCGUGCAAGGAUGGCACGAGAGAAUAUGGGAGAGCCAGCCUUAUAUUGGCAACAAGCCAGCUGGGAAUGUUCUUUUGUCAGCAGCAAUGCUCUUCAGCGGGUCAAACCCUAUUCCGACACUCAGGAUGCUGGACCUAAUGAAUAUCAAGGUCUUCUGUGAGCAGACAUAUUUCAACUACCAAAGGGGCUACUUGUUGCCAGCUAUUGAACAAGUGUGGACGAGUCAUCAGGCAGAACUCCUAACAGAGAUUCAG